AGAGUUUGAUCCUGGCUCAGAACGAACGCUGGCGGCGCGCUUAACACAUGCAAGUCGAGCGAGAAAGGGGGCAACCCCGAGUACAGCGGCGCACGGGUGAGUAACACGUGGAUAAUCUACCCUCAUGGUGGGGGAUAACGGGUCGAAAGACCCGCUAAUACCGCAUGAGACCACAGGGGCUGCGGCCCCAGGGGCCAAAGGGGCCUGUCGCAAGGCAGGUCUCGCCCGAGGAUGAGUCCGCGGACCAUUAGCUUGUUGGUAGGGUAACGGCCUACCAUUAGGCAAAGAUGGUUAGCUGGUCUGAGAGGACGAUCAGCCACACUGGAACUGGAACACGGUCCAGACUCCUACGGGAGGCAGCAGUGGGGAAUCUUGCGCAAUGGGCGAAAGCCUGACGCAGCGACGCCGCGUGGGUGACGAAGGCCUUCGGGUUGUAAAGCCCUGUCGGGAGCGACGAACAGGGCGGGUGACCCCCGCCCCUGACGCUAGCUCCGAAGGAAGCACUGGCUAACUCCGUGCCAGCAGCCGCGGUAAUACGGAGAGUGCAAGCGUUGUUCGGAAUUAUUGGGCGUAAAGCGCGUGUAGGCGGCUUGGUAAGUCGGAUGUGAAAGCCCGGGGCCUAACCUCGGAAGUGCAUUCGAAACUGCCAGGCUUGAGUGCGGGAGGGGAGAGCGGAAUUCCCAGUGUAGAGGUGAAAUUCGUAGAUAUUGGGAGGAACACCAGUGGCGAAGGCGGCUCUCUGGACCGACACUAGCGCUGAGACGCGAAAGCGUGGGGAGCAAACAGGAUUAGAUACCCUGGUAGUCCACGCUGUAAACGAUGGAUGCUAGCUGUCACGGGUAUUACCCCUGUGGUGGCGUAGCUAACGCGAUAAGCAUCCCGCCUGGGGAGUACGGCCGCAAGGCUAAAACUCAAAGGAAUUGACGGGGGCCCGCACAAGCGGUGGAGUAUGUGGUUUAAUUCGACACAACGCGAAGAACCUUACCCAGGCUUGACAUCCCGGGAAACCGCCCGAAAAGGCGGCCUGCUCGCAAGAGAACCCGGAGACAGGUGCUGCAUGGCUGUCGUCAGCUCGUGUCGUGAAAUGUUGGGUUAAGUCCCGCAACGAGCGCAACCCUUGUCCUUAGUUGCUACCAUUGAGUUGAGCACUCUAAGGAGACUGCCGGUGUUAAACCGGAGGAAGGUGGGGAUGACGUCAAGUCCUCAUGGCCCUUAUGCCUGGGGCUACACACGUACUACAAUGGCCGCCACAGACCGUAGCGAACUCGCGAGGGGGAGCCAACCGGAAAAAAGCGGCCUCAGUUCAGAUUGCAGUCUGCAACCCGACUGCAUGAAGGUGGAAUCGCUAGUAAUCGCUGAUCAGCAGGCAGCGGUGAAUACGUUCCCGGGCCUUGUACACACCGCCCGUCACACCAUGGGAGUUGCCUGGACCAGAAGUCACCGUACCAACCCUUCAACAAGGAGGAAGGCGCCUAAGGUCUGGACAGCGACUGGGGUGAAGUCGUAACAAGGUA
Molecule: ribosomal RNA, 1514 nt
Filed under: metagenome
Description: bacterial SSU rRNA
Rfam family: Bacterial small subunit ribosomal RNA
Source: RNAcentral